Molecule: ribosomal RNA, 253 nt
Filed under: uncultured bacterium
Lineage: Bacteria
Also listed under: 1 other name
Description: partial 16S ribosomal RNA
Rfam family: Bacterial small subunit ribosomal RNA
Source: RNAcentral
UACGGAGGGGGCUAGCGUUGUUCGGAAUUACUGGGCGUAAAGCGCGCGUAGGCGGCUUUGUAAGUUAGAGGUGAAAGCCCGGAGCUCAACUCCGGAAUUGCCUUUAAGACUGCAUCGCUAGAAUCAUGGAGAGGUGAGUGGAAUUCCGAGUGUAGAGGUGAAAUUCGUAGAUAUUCGGAAGAACACCAGUGGCGAAGGCGACUCACUGGACAUGUAUUGACGCUGAGGUGCGAAAGCGUGGGGAGCAAACAGG